This 466-nucleotide ribosomal RNA is filed under the name uncultured bacterium. RNAcentral describes it as "partial 16S ribosomal RNA". It matches the Rfam family "Bacterial small subunit ribosomal RNA", at positions 28 to 507 of the family's 1533-position model. The record is from RNAcentral.
GAUGAACGCUGGCGGCGUGCUUAACACAUGCAAGUCGAACGGAAAGGCUCCUGCUUGCAGGGGUACUCGAGUGGCGAACGGGUGAGUAACACGUGGGUGAUCUGCCCUGCACUUCGGGAUAAGCUUGGGAAACUGGGUCUAAUACCGGAUAGGACCGCAUUUUGGAUGGUGUGGUGGAAAGUUUUUUCGGUGUGGGAUGAGCUCGCGGCCUAUCAGCUUGUUGGUGGGGUAAUGGCCUACCAAGGCGUCGACUGGUAGCCGGCCUGAGAGGGUGUACGGCCACAUUGGGACUGAGAUACGGCCCAGACUCCUACGGGAGGCAGCAGUGGGGAAUAUUGCACAAUGGGCGCAAGCCUGAUGCAGCGACGCCGUGUGGGGGAUGACGGCCUUCGGGUUGUAAACUCCUUUCGCUAGGGACGAAGAGUAAUUGACGGUACCUGGAGAAGAAGCACCGGCUAACUACGUG